CCUCCUGAGUAGCUGGGAUUACAGGCACGCGCCACCAUGCCCAGCUAAUUUUUUGUAUUUUGAGUAGAGACGGGGUUUCACCAUGUUGACCAGGAUGGUCUCGAUCUCUUGACCUUGUGAUCCACCUGCCUUGGCCUCCCAAAGUGCUGGGAUUACAGGCGUGAGCCACCGCACCUGGCCCUACAUCUUUUUAUUACUAUAAGAAUUUGCACAACAUGUGACACAUCAUAGGAACUUAAUACGUGUUUACUGAAUGAAUGAAUGGAAGGAUGAGUGAGCAAUCAAGGACUCUAGAAUGUCUUAGUGCUUUUGAGACAUAGUGCUUAUGGACUAAUACACAGAAGGUAACAGAAGGGAACAGUGACCACAAAAAUGAAACUACUGGAAAGUCUCUUAUACUAAUGAGAGGCUGGGAUCAUGCCCAGGCCAAAGUGUUUGCCAAGGAGAAGCAAUUUUCUUCUUAUCUAAAGCAUGGAUAUGCAUCUGAGCCCAGGUAUUUGAAAGGUACUUGAAGAGCCAGUUUUCAGAAGUAAGGAACAAUGGAGCUUCCCUCCACCAUACAGGGAGAAGUAGAGCCAGAGCUUUUGGUUUAUGUGAGCUCAACUUGGCUGUCUUCCCAAGCCAAACCUUCAAAGUGAGAGAGGAGAAGGCUUUAGCAAAAUCUGAUUUUCAUCUCCUACUGAAUUCUCUCCUUGUCAAUUAUUUCUUGGGGGAGGUCACAUAGAUGUCACUCAAUUAUUUCCUCCCGAGUCUGACAGUGAUAUGGUAGCCAGCCUCUAAGGUGACUCCAUUCAUCUCUACUUCCUGGUAUUCAUUCCCUUGUGUGUGGGCUGAACAUAGCAACUUGCUUUUAAUCCGUAUAGUAAGACAAAAAUGAAUGUUACUUCCAUGAUUAGUUUAGAAAAGGUAGGGACUUUCAUCUGGUUUUACACUUCCUCUUUCUCGCUGGGCUGGAUGAAGCAAGCUGCCGUGCUGGAGAGGACAAUUUAGCAAUGAUCUGAGGGCAGCCAACAGACAAAGGGGAACCGAGGCUCUCAGUCCAAUAAGCUUCGAGGAAGUGAAUUUUCCAACAACUAUGUAAGUGAGCUUGAAAGUAGGUAUUUCCCCAGUUGAGUCUUCAGAUGAAAUCGGAACUUUGUUCCAAUCAAGAGCGCUUGGAACUCCAACGUUUAAGGAAAGAAAAGGUAGGUGGUUGGCAAAGCCUGAGUCCUGUCCUCUCGCUCUCCUCCCCAGGCAGCAUGAGCUUCACCACUCGCUCCACCUUCUCCACCAACUGCUGGUCUGUGGGCUCCGUGCAGGUGCCCAGCUACGAUGCCCGGCCCAUCAGCAGCAUGGCCAGCAUCUAUGCAGGCACUGGGGGCUCUGGUUCCCGCAUCUCCCACAUCUCCAUGACAUGCUCCGCCAGCUUCCAGAGCGGCAAGCGGGUCGGGGGCCCUGCCAUGGGGAUGGCCAGGGGUCUGGCAGGAACGGGAGGCAUCCAGAACGAGAAGGAGACCAUGCCAAGCCUGAACGACUGCCUGGCCUCCUACCUGGACACAGUCAGGAGCCUGGAGACCGAGAACCGGAAGUCGGAGAGCAAAACCCGGGGGCACCUGGAGAAGGGACCCCAGGUCAGAGACUGGGGCCAUUACUUCAAGACCAUCGAGGACCUGAGGGCUCAGAUCUUAGCAAAUACUGUGGACAAUGCCUGCAUCGUUCUGCAGAUUGACAGUGCUCGUCUUGCUGCUGAAGACUUUAGAGUCAGUAUGAGACAGAGCUGGCCAUGCGCCAGUCUGUGGAGAGCGACAUCCAUGGGCUCUGCAAGGUCAUCGACGACACCAAUGUCACUCGGCUGCAGCUGGAGACAGAAAUCGAGGCUCUUAAGGAGGAGCUGCUCUUCAUGAAGAAGAACCACGAAGAGGAAGUAAAUGGCCUACAAGCCCAGAUUGCCAGCUCUGGGUUGACCGUGGAGGUAGAUGCCCUCAAAUCUCAGGACCUCACUAAGAUCAUGGCAGAAAUCCGGGCUCAAUGACCAGCUGGCUCGGAAGAACCGAGAGGAGCUGGGUGAGUACUGGACUCAGCUGAUUGAGGAGAGCACCAUAGUACUCACCACACAGUCCACCGAGGUUGAAGCUGCUGAGAUGACGCUCACAGAGCUGAGACGUAAGGUCCAGUCCUUGGAGAUCGAGCUGAACUCCAUGAGAAAUACGAAGAUCAGCUUGGAGAACAGCCUGAGGGAGGUGGAGGCCCGCUACGCCCUGCAGAUGGAGCAGCUCAACGGGAUCCUGCUGCACCUGCAGUCAGAGCUGGCACAGACCCGGGCAGAGGGACAGCGCCAGGCCCAGGAGUACGAGGCUCUGUUGAACAUCAAGGUCAAGCUGGAGGCCGAGAUCGCCACCUACCGCCACCUGCUGGAAGAUGGCGAGGACUGCAGUCUUAGCGAUGCCCUGGACAGCAGCGACUGCAUGCAAACCAUUCAAAAGACGACCACCCGCCGGAGAGUCGAUGGCAAAGUGGUGUCUGAGACCAAUGACACCACAGUUCUGAGACAUUAGGCCAGCAGAAGCAGGGGACCCUUCGGGGAGCAGGAGGCCAAUAAAAAGUUGAGAGGUCAAAAA
Non-coding RNA from Callithrix jacchus (white-tufted-ear marmoset), 2597 nucleotides. The record is from RefSeq and is a predicted model, not a curated record. Lineage: Eukaryota; Metazoa; Chordata; Mammalia; Primates; Cebidae.